CUUGAUCGAACCGAGCCACAGCGGCUGGUCCCCGUCGCGGUCCUGGCCGUAGGCGGCGAGCAGGGCGUCGGCCUC
Molecule: antisense RNA, 75 nt
Filed under: Streptomyces stelliscabiei
Lineage: Bacteria; Bacillati; Actinomycetota; Actinomycetes; Kitasatosporales; Streptomycetaceae
Also listed under: 1 other name
Description: Aspks sRNA
Rfam family: ASpks TB sRNA
Source: RNAcentral